Molecule: ribosomal RNA, 253 nt
Filed under: uncultured bacterium
Lineage: Bacteria
Description: partial 16S ribosomal RNA
Rfam family: Bacterial small subunit ribosomal RNA
Source: RNAcentral
UACGGAGGUUGCAAGCGUUAUCCGGAUUUAUUGGGUUUAAAGGGUGCGUAGGCGGGAUAAUAAGUCAGUGGUGAAAUCCUGCAGCUUAACUGUAGAACUGCCAUUGAUACUGUUAUUCUUGAGUGUACUUGAGGUGGGCGGAAUGUGUAGUGUAGCGGUGAAAUGCUUAGAUAUUACACAGAACACCAAUUGCGUAGGCAGCUCACUAAAUUACAACUGACGCUGAGGCACGAAAGCGUGGGGAGCAAACAGG